CCGCCGCCAUCCGGUCGUGAUCAUAACCGAGGCCUUGUCUGCACAGUUACACAUCAGGCCCAAACCCACAGCCCUCGGCAGCCGCCCCACGCGGGCCCUGCCUCGGCAGACUUCCCAACCUCUGCAUGAGCCGCAGAGGAAAGUGAGACCCCCUAGGCUCUCCUGAAGCCAGCCCUGGGCCCAUCCCCAAGGAUGCUUUGGGAAGGAGAUAAGGAGGUGAGAUAGAAUCUGGCAGAGACGGAAGAUGAAAAAAAGACAAACGGAAGAAAAGAAAGCAGGAAGGAGCAAAGGAAAGAAGAAAAAAGAAAGAAGAGAUAAAAGAGGAAGGGAAGACAGGGAAAAGAAGGAAGAAAAGAGACAGAGGCGACUCCUAGCAGCGGCCGAGCUUACAGAGAGAAGGGUGGAGGUGUGUGGUGGAAGGGGAAAGCCGGCCGGCUGGCAAAGCGCUACGGAGAAAGACACGAGGCUCCUGCGCAGGGAAAGCCGAGGUUGCCACCAAAGGCCUGGCACGACCAGGGCCGUGAUGCCCCGCCCGGCCCGACCCCCGCGCGCAGAGGUACCUGGAGACGAUUUCAACUGAAGUAAUGAAGGCAGUGUCGUGCUGUCGAGAGAAAGGUGGAUCCCAACAACAGGAAACUACCUAAAUCACCGACCAGUUCUGGUGCUGCCCGCGCAGGGCUGCCUCGCCAGCCGCCGCCGCCGCCGCCGCCGCCGCCGCCAAGGAGAAAACCCUGCGAUCGCGCCUGGCCCAGCCCAGCCCCUAGGCAACCUGCGCCCGCCGCUGCAACGGAGUGCCCCAGGCGGCCGCAAAUGCGUCAAGGAAGGGCAAGCCACUGGCCCCAGUAAGCCAAAGUCAAGCCCGUUUGCCAACCUGCAUGUCCAUGCCUGUAAGCCCUUCUCUUGGCCAAGGAAGAAAGGAAGAAAGAAAAAAGAAACCUGGGGGCCUGUAUCCCCUGAUUAAACACAGCACAGCACUCCAGGCAGACAUGCCCGGUGGCGGCUCCUUUGCACCAUUGACCUCAGGCCAGACACCUCAGCGCCAACAAUGGGACCUCGGCCUUCCGGCUAGGUUUGCCCCAGGCUGGGCAGGAAACCAGCUCGGCCGAAGACAGGGGCCAUUUCGAGCAGUGGGACCCCAAGACAGCAAACCCAGCCCAGUCACGACUUGACACUUAGGACAAUAUCUAUCUCUAUAGAAUUUUAGCACGAUAUGGCUUUUUCCCCCAGAAAACAACAAAUAAACCAGCACCAAGCAAACACAAAGAAACAAAAAGUCAGAACAAACCAGCCCUGCACAGAUGUAACGGCCCAGGAGAUGGCGAGUGUGGGAGGGAGGAACAGGGCUCCAGCACAGGUGCGAGUUCCUGGGCAGAGGCUGAAGACAGAGGGAGGAGACCAGCGCUCGGGAAGUGAAAAAACCGCGUCGCCUGGAGAUUCAUCAGGAAAAAUUAAAGU
Nomascus leucogenys (northern white-cheeked gibbon) is the source of this 1455-nucleotide long non-coding RNA. RefSeq lists it as uncharacterized. Lineage: Eukaryota; Metazoa; Chordata; Mammalia; Primates; Hylobatidae. The record is from RefSeq and is a predicted model, not a curated record. The transcript has 3 exons.